This 1036-nucleotide long non-coding RNA is filed under the name Oncorhynchus kisutch (coho salmon). RNAcentral describes it as "lncRNA (ENSOKIG00005042727.1)". The record is from RNAcentral. Lineage: Eukaryota; Metazoa; Chordata; Actinopteri; Salmoniformes; Salmonidae.
AUGGUGCUAUCGAAAACAAUACUCCUUUACACAACAGAUAAAGAAAGGAGGAAGGGUUAUGGGGUACGUCUUGUCAGCCAGGUCUGUCACAGUUCCUACUUCUUUAGGGGACUAGGACUAGGUCAUGUAGUCAUGCUGACUGACUCAAGUUUAAAACAGCCCUUUCAGGGAAUGACAUACCGCCUCCCAGGUUACCAAGGUGCCCUACCAGGUUACCAAGGUGCCCUACCGCCUGCCAGGUUACCAAGGUGCCCUACCGCCUCCCAGGUUACCACGGUGCCCUACCGCCUGCCAGGUUACCACGGUGCCCUACCGCCUCCCAGGUUACCACGGUGCCCUACCGCCUCCCAGGUUACCACGGUGCCCUACCGCCUCCCAGGUUACCACGGUGCCCUACCGCCUCCCAGGUUCCCACGGUGCCCUACCGCCUCCCAGGUUACCACGGUGCCCUACCGCCUGCCAGGGUACCACGGUGCCCUACCGCCUCCCAGGUUACCACGGUGCCCUACCGCCUCCCAGGUUACCACGGUGCCCUACCGCCUCCCAGGUUACCACCGUGCCCUACCGCCUGCCAGGUUACCACGGUGCCCUACCGCCUCCCAGGUUACCACGGUGCCCUACCGCCUCCCAGGUUACCACGGUGCCCUACCGCCUCCCAGGUUACCACGGUGCCCUACCGCCUCCCAGGUUACCACGGUGCCCUACCGCCUCCCAGGUUCCCACGGUGCCCUACCGCCUCCCAGGGUACCACGGUGCCCUACCGCCUGCCAGGGUACCACGGUGCCCUACCGCCUCCCAGGUUACCACGGUGCCCUACCGCCUCCCAGGUUACCACGGUGCCCUACCGCCUCCCAUGUUACCACCGUGCCCUACCGCCUGCCAGGUUACCACGGUGCCCUACCGCCUGCCAGGUUACCACGGUGCCCUACCGCCUCCCAGGUUACCACGGUGCCCUACCGCCUCCCAGGUUACCACGGUGCCCUACCGCCUCCCAGGUUACCACGGUGCCCUACCGCCUCCCAGGUUACCACGGUGC